This 400-nucleotide ribosomal RNA is filed under the name uncultured bacterium. RNAcentral's name for it is "bacterial SSU rRNA". It matches the Rfam family "Bacterial small subunit ribosomal RNA", at positions 356 to 773 of the family's 1533-position model. The record is from RNAcentral.
GGGGAAUCUUGGACAAUGGGCGCAAGCCUGAUCCAGCCAUGCCGCGUGAGUGAUGAAGGUCUUCGGAUUGUAAAACUCUUUCGUCAGGGACGAUAAUGACUGUACCUGAAGAAGAAGCCCCGGCUAACUUCGUGCCAGCAGCCGCGGUAAUACGAAGGGGGCUAGCGUUGUUCGGAAUUACUGGGCGUAAAGCGCGCGUAGGCGGAUCGUUAAGUCGGGGGUGAAAUCCCGGGGCUCAACCCCGGAACUGCCUUCGAUACUGGCGAUCUUGAGGAUGAGAGAGGCGAGUGGAAUUUCGAGUGUAGCAGUGAAAUGCGUAGAUAUUCGAAGGAACACCAGUGGCGAAGGCGACUCGCUGGCUCAUUUCUGACGCUGAGGCGCGAAAGCGUGGGUAGCAAAC